Molecule: RNA transcript, 1284 nt
Organism: Selaginella moellendorffii
Lineage: Eukaryota; Viridiplantae; Streptophyta; Lycopodiopsida; Selaginellales; Selaginellaceae
Gene name: pentatricopeptide repeat-containing protein At4g25270, chloroplastic-like
Exons: 4
Source: RefSeq, a predicted model, not a curated record
UUAGAGGUUUAGGGUAGAAGAAUGCUGCCUGGGAGGCGCCAGGCUCGAUCCAAGAUCCAGAAGCUCCAAGCCGCCGCCAGCGACCAGCUCGUGCCGAGGAAACCGACGCCCCUCGCGGUUCUCUCUCAGAUCAAGGACGAUCUCGGUGUUCUUGACGGCGACUGCGACAGGGAGAGGAAGAGAUUCAAGCCGGAUACCGCAUUCUUCGUGGCGCUGCUCCAGCGCUGCUCGUCUGCCAAGAAUGUGGAUCACGGCCGGCGCGUCCACUGGCACGUAUGCGAUCGGGGUUUCGAGCAGAACAAUCUCGUCUGCGGCCACUUGAUCCAGAUGUAUGCGCAAUGCGGCAGCGUGCCGGAGGCUCAGCAGGUUUUCGAGAUCUUGGAGCGCAAGGAUGUGUUCGCGUGGACGAGGAUGAUCGGGAUCUAUUGCCAGCAAGGGGAUUACGAUCGCGCGCUGGGGAUGUUCUACCAGAUGCAAGAGGAGGAUGUGAUGCCGACCAAGGUGACAUACGUCGCGAUCCUCAACGCUUGCGCUAGCACGGAAUCGCUCAAGGAUGGGAUGGAGAUCCACGGGCAAAUCCUCCAGCAGGGAUUCGAGGGCGAUGUGUUCGUGGGGACGGCGCUGAUAAACAUGUAUAACAAGUGUGGCAGCGUUAGAGGCGCCUGGGAUUCUUUCAAGAGGCUCGAGCACAGGGACGUGGUUUCAUGGACAGCCAUGAUCGCGGCUUGUGUCCAGCACGAUCAGUUUGCUCUCGCGAGGUGGCUCUACCGGAGGAUGCAGCUCGACGGCGUGGUGCCGAACAAGAUCACGCUCUACACCGUCUUCAAUGCUUACGGAGAUCCACACUACUUGAGCGAGGGGAAGUUUAUCUACAGCUUGGUUUCCUCGCGAGUGAUGGAGUCCGACGUCCGAGUGAUGAAUUCCGCGAUGAAUAUGUUUGGCAACGCUGGGCUCCUGGGUGACGCGCGGAGGCUUUUCGAGGAUAUGGUGGACAGGGACGUGGUUACUUGGAACAUAGUCAUCACAUUCUACGUGCAAAACGAGAACUUUGGCGAGGCCGUGAGGCUUUUUGGGCGCUUGCAGCAGGAUGGGAUCAAGGCAAACGACAUCACGUUUGUGUUGAUGCUCAACGUGUAUACCAGCUUGACGAGCUUGGCGAAAGGGAAGCUCUGAUGAGUCUCUACGGGAGAUGCGAGGCCCCCGGACAAGCGUGGAAGAUUUUUGUCGACAUGGGAAGAAGGAAGCUCUUCAGCUGUUCCAGGAGAUGCAGCUCGAAGGACGCAG